Molecule: long non-coding RNA, 299 nt
Filed under: Zostera marina
Lineage: Eukaryota; Viridiplantae; Streptophyta; Magnoliopsida; Alismatales; Zosteraceae
Description: long non-coding RNA (ZMAR_LNC001360)
Source: RNAcentral
GAAAAAUAGAUGGUUGCAGUCAAUUAAUUUGUUCUCAACUGUCCCAUUUAAAGGAGGAAGUAAUAGGUUGAUGAUUUCCACUUUAAUUUUCAGAUGCUUCUAUAGAUGUAGUGGAUGCUUCAAUAUCUAUUUCUGUGUUUUCAGAACUUUGAGUAUUUUUUGUAAUUUCUAGAUUUUCACUUGUUUCUCUAUGAUCUAAAGUCUGUACAUUUUGUCUUUGAAUGUCUAUAGAAAGUGGAAGUCUAAUGUUGUUUAUAUUUGUCUUCUGAAUGUCCAUGUCCUUUUUUGAGUUGAUCUGG